UACGUAGGGGGCGAGCGUUGUCCGGAAUCAUUGGGCGUAAAGAGCUCGUAGGCGGUUCAGUAAGUCAGGUGUGAAAGCUCCGAGCUCAACUCGGAGAGGCCACCUAUACUGCUGUGACUAGAAUCCAGUAGGGGAGUGUGGAACUCCUGGUGUAGCGGUGAAAUGCGCAGAUAUCAGGAGGAACACCAGCGGCGGAAGGCGGCGCUCUGGGCCGGAACUGACGCUGAGGAGCGAAAGCGUGGGUAGCAAACAGG
This 254-nucleotide ribosomal RNA is filed under the name uncultured bacterium. RNAcentral describes it as "partial 16S ribosomal RNA". It matches the Rfam family "Bacterial small subunit ribosomal RNA", at positions 524 to 776 of the family's 1533-position model. The record is from RNAcentral.